AUCGGAUAAAACAAACAAUUUUUUUUUUAAAAAUUAUAAUAAUACAGAUGGCUUGAAAAAUGAUGAUAAUGGAACUAAUAAAAGUAAUAAUAAUAAUAAUAAUAGUUAUUGUAAUUUAAAAAAAAAAGAACCUUUUCCAUCAAAUAUAUAUAUCUAUGAUAACAAUUGCUAUAAAUGUGUUAGCUGUGAAGCUAUAUGCACGCAUGUAUAUUAUAUAUUAAAACCAAACACAUUGAAAAAAAUAUCCUAUGGCGUUUUAGAUAAAUGUAUAUGGUGUAGUACGUGUUUUUAUUCAAAUAAAUACCCAAGUAUUUUAAAUAGUUGUAAUUUUACUAAGGUUAAUAUACCAUAUGAUUUUUUUAAAAAUCCUAGUGAUAACUGCUUUAAUAAUAAACACAUGAAAAAAAGUAAUAGACAAAAUAAAAAUCCAAACGACAUGAACAGUUUUACCGAUAAUUGGAGUACAUCAGAUAUAGAAAAAUUAAUUGAAGGUGUUUAUAAAUAUGAAAAUGAUUGGAAUAAGAUAAGUGAGUUGGUAAAAAAUAAAUCAGCAUACGAAUGUAUAUAUAAAUUUAUUUCUAUGCCUUUAUCAAACCCAUAUUUUGAUAUAAACAACUUGCUGAAUGUUAAUAAUUUAUCAUUUGUUUCAUAUAAACAAAAUAAUACACUUCUUUUUUUACUUUCAUUUAUAAGUAAUAACAUAAGCCCAUAUAUCGGUGCUUAUGCAGCUAAAAAAAUUGUAGACUUCAUUAUAAACAUUCAAAAACAGCACCUACAAGAAAGUAAAAGCGAAAAUAAAUUAAAUACAGAAACAGAAACAGUAACAGAAACAGAAACAGAAACAGAAACAGUAACAGAAACAGUAACAGUAACAGCUCCUAUUACUACUAAUAUCAACGAACAAACAAAUAAGCAAGUGGAUGUUCAAGGGAAUAUUGAGCAAAUAGACGAGAAGAAGAAGGGGGACGAGAACGUGGUAGUAGUAGCCCCAUAUGUUGAUAAAUUCGGAGAAAAGGAGACGAGUAAAAUAGUUAAACAGGAAGAAGAAAAUGAUAAAAAACAGGAGGAUAAAGGUUGUUGGCAGAACGAACAAAACGGAGAAGACAAAGACAAAGACAAAGACAAACAAACGAAAAAAGAAGAUACAAACACAAAUCAUAACAAUGAUAUGAAUUCUGUACCUGAUUAUAAGUCAUUAAAUGUUAAUAACCACUUGAAAAAUAACAAAACAAGUACUUAUAUUUUGAAGGAAAAGGAUAUGCAAGAAAUAUACGAAACGAUUAUUAAAGCAUCCCAAAAAGGUGCUAGACAAUUAGAAGAGUUAGAAAAACAUAAUAUAAAAAAAUUAUUACAAGAACUAGCUAUAAUAAGCACGAAAAAAAUAAAAUUAAAACUACAACAGUACAAAUACUUGCAACAUUAUUUUGAAAUACAAAAUAAGUUAAGGGUAUCUUCUGACAAAUAGGUGCAAAUACACAAACACAUACACAUACAGCUUGUACCGUGU
Molecule: long non-coding RNA, 1507 nt
Filed under: Piliocolobus tephrosceles (Ugandan red Colobus)
Lineage: Eukaryota; Metazoa; Chordata; Mammalia; Primates; Cercopithecidae
Description: lncRNA (ENSPTEG00000014129.1)
Source: RNAcentral